GAUGAACGCUAGCUACAGGCUUAACACAUGCAAGUCGAGGGGAAACGACAUCGAAAGCUUGCUUUCGAUGGGCGUCGACCGGCGCACGGGUGAGUAACGCGUAUCCAACCUGCCCACCACUUGGGGAUAACCUUGCGAAAGUAAGACUAAUACCCAAUGAUAUCUCUAGAAGACAUCUGAAAGAGAUUAAAGAUUUAUCGGUGAUGGAUGGGGAUGCGUCUGAUUAGCUUGUUGGCGGGGUAACGGCUCACCAAGGCUACGAUCAGUAGGGGUUCUGAGGGGAAGGUCCCCCACAUUGGAACUGAGACACGGUCCAAACUCCUACGGGAGGCAGCAGUGAGGAAUAUUGGUCAAUGGACGAGAGUCUGAACCAGCCAAGUAGCGUGCAGGAUGACGGCCCUAUGGGUUGUAAACUGCUUUUAUAAGGGAAUAAAGUGAGUCUCGUGAGACUUUUUGCAUGUACCUUAUGAAUAAGGACCGGCUAAUUCCGUGCCAGCAGCCGCGGUAA
Molecule: ribosomal RNA, 508 nt
Filed under: uncultured bacterium
Lineage: Bacteria
Description: partial 16S ribosomal RNA
Rfam family: Bacterial small subunit ribosomal RNA
Source: RNAcentral